This is a non-coding RNA of Oryzias latipes (Japanese medaka), 4831 nucleotides long. The record is from RefSeq and is a predicted model, not a curated record. NCBI's taxonomy places the organism in Eukaryota, Metazoa, Chordata, Actinopteri, Beloniformes, Adrianichthyidae.
UGAGAGACUUCACCCAAGAGGAGCUAAACCAACACAGGCGCUAUGAUUCCUGAUCUUAGUCAGGGAGUUUGCAGUUGAACAUCAGUUUCUAGAUUUGAAACUCCAUAAAGAGGCGGAGUCACCCCGUUAAACACAACAAGCCCAAACCCGUAGACCUGUGUGGAGGAGGACAGAGAGGAGCGAGGCGGCGAGGGAGGGGUGGCUUCCGUCACAACUGGGACACAGUUCUGUCUUUUGAUUAAAAAAAAUAUAAUAAAUAAACCGGGGGGCUCACGGCUCCCAAAACGGUUCACAUUCGCGUGUUUGUGGGACACUUUGCUGGAGGGCGCCGCGGUGGAAAUGCGAUGUUUGAUGGCAGUAGAGGAGUGUUUGCAGCGCUCCCCAAGAAGAGGCAUCACGGCGCGACUUGGCUAACGUUACCUCGCUAACAAGAGUGGGGUGACAUGGCUCUCUGACAGGCUGCCAAAGGUCUCUUCAUGGAUCACACAGGACGGGCGGAAGGGAAAGCACACCACUUGUGAGCAUAUUCGAGCUCAGUAAAGUCUGACCCACAAGCAUAUCAUCAGCCUGACUUAAGCGGAUGUGGCCUUUUCAGUUGUUCAUAGACAUCUGUUGGGCAGCUCAAAGGUCUCCUGCUAUGCACUAUAAACAAAGAGACAUGAGCUGUGGGAAUGUAAGGAGAAGCAGGCUUCUUUCCUGCAGAACUCUACUUCUGGUAAUUGGGCUUUUGGUAACAAUAGCCCGAGACACUGUGGCUGACCAACAAGGUACAAAGGUGGACAUGUUACCAGUGGAACUAGAGGCAUCUAUGCAGUCCUCUGUACUCUCUGAGCUACAGGCUGCAGCAUCUUCCGUAGGUGAAGGGCCACCUACAGCUAUUCCAGAUUAUUCUGCCAAGACUGAGGGAGCGCACACCAACAUUCCUGACUCCUCAGCAAUUGUGGGCCAGGUAUUUCAGUUAAAACUUCCCCCAGGAAAAACCCAUGCAAGUUGCAAUGUCCAUCUCACUGAGCUGGGAAAAAAGUCUUUACCUUCCUGGCUUUGUUGGGAUAAGGAGAGCUGCAGUCUAAAAGGUUUGGCUCUGGAUCGAGAUAAAGGUUCAUAUCGUAUCUUGGUUUCAGAGGAGGGUCUAGCUGAGAACACAAGCAGCCAAGUAUACCCCAGCACAGUAUUUUCUAUUGAAGUAUACCCAGAAGAUCGGGCAGACACUGAGCCAGCACUUUUCACUCUACAGUCUGAUAGUAGCCUGCAACCUUUCACAUGUAUGUCUGAAGAGCCUGUUACUGUCCUAACUGUCAUAUUGGAUGCAGACUUGACAAAGAUGGUUGCUAAGCAAAGGGUCAAUUUACUGAGUGUUAUGAAAAAAUUCUCACAUGUGCCAUUGGAACACAUGAGAGUUGUCCCUGUUGUGAACAAUCGCUUAUUUGACAUGACUGCUUUCAUGGCUGGGCCAGGAAAUGCAAAGAAAGUUAUUGAGAAUGGGGCCCUUUUGUCUUGGAAAGUAGGAUGUUCCCUAGAUCAUGACAGCAUCCCUGACAUAAGCAGUGUUCAAUAUUCAGCAAAAGAUGGGACAAUGUCAGCCAAGCUUGGUUAUCCUGUGGUUGGUUGGCAUAUUGUCAACAAAAAAACUCAUGUAGUAAAACGGGUCAGGCGGCAUUUGAACAAUACUCCCACUCCAGUACCAUCCCUGCUUCCUCCAACGGUUAGUCAAGAACCUCUUUCGCGACCUGUUCCAACCCCAAUCUCACCCUUUAUUGCACCAGCAACAGAUAUUUCUGCUCCCCCUGUUCGAGGCCCUUUGCCUCUUCCAGUAAAGCCAACCAUGAGGGUCAGAGAUCAGAUAGCACAUACUCCUGUCUUUGGACCUCCCCAACCUACCAGAGUAUUAGGAACUACAAGCACCCUCCCUAUUCAACCUGCCACAACAAGGCCUACAAUUGCGGAACCCACUGCUAUGCCAACAGCCCCCAGCACCACCAAGAAACCCAAACCUUCCUCUACAAAGAAACCCAAAAAGUCCAAAUCCUCAACCCCAGCUCCUCGACAGCCAAAGUCCACCACAGUUAAAACACCUAAAAUCAGAAUAGAAUCAAAUACCACUCCAGUGAUUCGCAACUCAAUUGAUCAUGUGAUUGCAUGGGUUGGCACUUACUUUGAGCUUAAAAUUGCUGCUGAUACAUAUUAUGACAUAGAAGAUGGGACAACCGACAAGCUGCGUUUGACUUUGCUCAAGUCCUCCAAAGAACCAGUGAGUGAAACGUCAUGGAUUCAGUUCAACAGCACCAUCCAGCUUUUGUAUGGCCUUCCAGAGGAUGAAGGUAAUCAUGAGUACUUUAUGAUGGCUACUGAUAAAGGUGGCCAAAGCAUCAUGGAUGCAUUUGUGGUUCAAGUCAACCGCUGGUCUAACAACGACAAACCUUCAGUCAUGUUUGCUGCUCGAUUUGAAGGUGAUCAUAAAAGUUUAAACGGUGAUGUCAAUAAGAAAAUUCUUCUCAUCAAAAAGUUGGCAUAUGCCUUUGGCGAUAGGAACAGUAGUACUGUGACCUUGAGAAACAUCAGAAGUGGCUCCAUUGUUGUUCAAUGGACCAAUAACAGUCUUCAGCAAAACCCUUGUCCAAAGGAUCAGAUUACAGUUCUCAGUAACAGAAUCUCAGAUUCCCAAGGAAAGCCCAAACCGGCCUUCAUCAAAGCCAUGGAGCCUGAAUUCAUAACUAUCAACAUCUCUGUUUUUGGCACCAAUGAAUGUCAGAGAUAUACUUUCAUUCCUCCUGGAGAGAUUCCAGUGCCAAUUCUUCCUACACCUUCGCCUUCUCCCGGGACAGACCGUAGAAGCAGCGAUGAUGUUUACCUGCACACAGUUAUUCCAGCUGUAGUGGUGGCAGCACUGCUACUCAUAGCUGGCAUCAUUGCUAUGGUCUGCUACCGCAAGAAACGCAAAGGAAAGAUGACCACAGAGGAACAGGCAACUUUCAUCAAGAAGGGAGUUCCAAUAAUAUUUGCAGACGAGUUGGAUGAUUCCAAAUCACCUCCUUCUUCCAGCAUUCCUCUUAUCCUUCAAGAAGAGAAGCCCCCUCUUCCUCCUCCAGAGUAUCCAAACAUGCCAGGACCCCAUAGCAGCCUACUCAACCAGGAUCUAAUGGAGGAUUUUUUAAUCUAUCAGGAUGAUGAUCCGAAUGCUCCACCUUACCAGCCCCCACCACCAUUUACCGUACCCAUUGAGGGCAAAGGCUCACGUCCCAAAAAUAUGACGGCUUACAGGUCCCCACCUCCUUAUGUGCCUCCCUAACCCACAUUGGAGCUUGGAUCAUAGAAAGCAGAGAUUUGUAGAAAUGCUUCUCAGAAACUUUUACAAGGGUAAAUACAGUUGUGCUCUAUGACUUGGCUUUGACUUUUUAGAAGAGGACACAACUAUAUAUAUCUGACCAUCACAGAAUUGACACUGUAACAUAAGAUUUUACUUCUAUCAUGGGACAGAUGGAUGGAAAACAUUUUUAAUUCCAUCACUUUUUUUUUCUUCUUCUGUUCUUUGGAUCUGCUUUUGACUUAUUGCAUUUUGUUUUGCUUUUAUUAUUUCUGUCUGUUUUUGCCAAGAGGAGACAAUUUUAUCUUCAAUGAUGUACUAUUUCUAUUGUAUAGAAAAUAAUAAAGAAGCAGGAAAGACUGAAGUCCACAGGGUCUUUUUGCAGAUGUCACCAUGACAACAGACUUGAGGCUCUCCCUCACAGUGUUAAUCUUUAUGAGUUCUAAAUCAUUCUUAUCUACCCUUCAGCCAGGUUUACUAAGAUUUUGCACUUGUUAUUUCUAGAGGGAAGGAAAUGCAAAAUGGCAAGCUAAGAGCAUGAAACUUUUAUUUACACAGUUUAUGAAACAUACAUUUCUGUUUUUACUUUGCUUCCUCUUGACAAUAACUUGCAUACCUUGCACUUAUGCAAACUCUUGUUAAACCUCUGUCUUGCGCAGAUUUGAAAGCAUUUAGUUAUAGGUUGGUGAAGAAAGGAAAAAGUAUUUUUGAUAUUGGUGAAGUUUGACCACAAUUCCUCUGGUACUUGAUCACAAAAGACAUAACUCUGAUCUCAUCCAUUUUAGAAGUAGCUUCAUUAUGUUUUGUUAAAAUUUGCCACUGAAGCUGUCUGUGAGAAGAAUGGUUUCUGCUGUUGCCAAGGUGUUGCCUCUUGUCUCAUGGUAAUUCUAAUGGGGUUUCUACAACAAUAACAAAGGGGCGAUUGGCAUGCUGUGUUUCACAGCAGGUAGGGAAUCUAUUAAUGAGUUGAUUCCACUGUCUUGUGUAAUGUUGGUUUUAUUGGUGUAAGCAGUGGGUGGGUGGGUAUAGAGUACUGUAUUAUCAUUGCUCUGCCUCUAGGUGUUGCACUGCAAGAUUUAACAUACUGCUUAAACCAUGUCAGUUCAGAAAAAGCAUGGGGUUUAACAGGAUGUACAUACUUGUGUGCCUGUGGAAGAAAACGGCUUCGUAAUAUCAAGUGUUUUAUCAGUAAACUUGGUUGGGGAGUGGGUCUACGAGUGGAAAAUUGUUUUAUUUUUCAAUUGUAUGUCUAGAUUUAUGAUUCCAAUUAUAUUAAAAGAAGACAAAAAAAUCAAUUUGUGAGGGUUUAAAAGAUGGUUGACUUGCCUGUCCCAGAAAAGUCAUCUAUUAUUUCCAUGUGAUGGGAAACAAAGAAACCACAACAAUAUGUGAAUUAUGUACAUUUCAUAUCUGAUACCACCAUAAGAAAAAAUGGUUAAAUCUAAUGUUUUUACUGAGUUUUUGAUACAGUCUUAAAAAUUGUUUUAUGAAAAUGUAUUAAUAAAAUGUAAAACUAUUUGUAAAGCCUCA